This 1120-nucleotide ribosomal RNA is filed under the name Phialocephala sp. AS14-2. Its description in RNAcentral is "eukaryotic LSU rRNA". The stretch from base 523 to 1120 matches the Rfam family "Eukaryotic large subunit ribosomal RNA", at positions 1 to 601 of the family's 3401-position model. The record is from RNAcentral. Lineage: Eukaryota; Fungi; Ascomycota; Leotiomycetes; Helotiales; Mollisiaceae.
GUAGGUGACCUGCGGAAGGACAUUAAUAAACCUAGUCGUUCGCGUACAUAGGGGCAACCCUCGCGUGAUGUCAGCAAUACCUAGGUAACCCUUGAAUAAACUACCCUUGUUGCUUUGGCGGGCCGCCGUCUCGGCCAGCGGCUUCGGCUGCUGCGCGCCCGCCAGAGGACCACAACUCUUGUUUUUAGUGAUGUCUGAGUACUAUAUAAUAGUUAAAACUUUCAACAACGGAUCUCUUGGUUCUGGCAUCGAUGAAGAACGCAGCGAAAUGCGAUAAGUAAUGUGAAUUGCAGAAUUCAGUGAAUCAUCGAAUCUUUGAACGCACAUUGCGCCCUUUGGUAUUCCGAAGGGCAUGCCUGUUCGAGCGUCAUUAUAACCACUCAAGCUCUCGCUUGGUAUUGGGGUGCGCGGUUCCGCGGCCUCUAAAGUCAGUGGCGGUGCCUGUCGGCUCUACGCGUAGUAAUACUCCUCGCGUCUGGGUCCGGUAGGUUGCUUGCCAACAACCCCCAAAUUUUUACAGGUUGACCUCGGAUCAGGUAGGGAUACCCGCUGAACUUAAGCAUAUCAAUAAGCGGAGGAAAAGAAACCAACAGGGAUUACCUCAGUAACGGCGAGUGAAGCGGUAACAGCUCAAAUUUGAAAGCUAGCUCUUUUAGGGUUCGCAUUGUAAUUUGUAGAAGAUGCUUCGGGUGUGGCCCCGGUCUAAGUUCCUUGGAACAGGACGUCAUAGAGGGUGAGAAUCCCGUAUGUGACUGGGUGCUUUCGCUCAUGUGAAGCUCUUUCGACGAGUCGAGUUGUUUGGGAAUGCAGCUCAAAAUGGGUGGUAAAUUUCAUCUAAAGCUAAAUAUUGGCCAGAGACCGAUAGCGCACAAGUAGAGUGAUCGAAAGAUGAAAAGCACUUUGGAAAGAGAGUUAAACAGUACGUGAAAUUGUUGAAAGGGAAGCGCUUGCAACCAGACUUGCGCGCUGAUGAUCAUCCGGGCUUCUGCCCGGUGCACUCGUCUGCGCUCAGGCCAGCAUCGGUUUCGGUGGUGGGAUAAAGGCCUUGGGAAUGUAGCUUCUUUCGGGGAGUGUUAUAGCCCUCGGUGCAAUGCCGCCUACCGGGACCGAGGACCGCGCU